This 1629-nucleotide ribosomal RNA is filed under the name Salmonella enterica. RNAcentral describes it as "partial 23S ribosomal RNA". It matches the Rfam family "Bacterial large subunit ribosomal RNA", at positions 1292 to 2899 of the family's 2925-position model. The record is from RNAcentral. Lineage: Bacteria; Pseudomonadati; Pseudomonadota; Gammaproteobacteria; Enterobacterales; Enterobacteriaceae. RNAcentral also lists the same sequence under 1 other name.
GAAUGCUGACAUAAGUAACGAUAAAGCGGGUGAAAAGCCCGCUCGCCGGAAGACCAAGGGUUCCUGUCCAACGUUAAUCGGGGCAGGGUGAGUCGACCCCUAAGGCGAGGCCGAAAGGCGUAGUCGAUGGGAAACGGGUUAAUAUUCCCGUACUUGGUGUUACUGCGAAGGGGGGACGGAGAAGGCUAUGUUGGCCGGGCGACGGUUGUCCCGGUUUAAGCGUGUAGGUGUGUGUUCCAGGUAAAUCCGGUUCACUUUAACACUGAGGCGUGACGACGAGGCACUACGGUGCUGAAGCAACAAAUGCCCUGCUUCCAGGAAAAGCCUCUAAGCAUCAGGUAACAUCAAAUCGUACCCCAAACCGACACAGGUGGUCAGGUAGAGAAUACCAAGGCGCUUGAGAGAACUCGGGUGAAGGAACUAGGCAAAAUGGUGCCGUAACUUCGGGAGAAGGCACGCUGACACGUAGGUGAAGUGAUUUACUCAUGGAGCUGAAGUCAGUCGAAGAUACCAGCUGGCUGCAACUGUUUAUUAAAAACACAGCACUGUGCAAACACGAAAGUGGACGUAUACGGUGUGACGCCUGCCCGGUGCCGGAAGGUUAAUUGAUGGGGUCAGCGCAAGCGAAGCUCCUGAUCGAAGCCCCGGUAAACGGCGGCCGUAACUAUAACGGUCCUAAGGUAGCGAAAUUCCUUGUCGGGUAAGUUCCGACCUGCACGAAUGGCGUAAUGAUGGCCAGGCUGUCUCCACCCGAGACUCAGUGAAAUUGAACUCGCUGUGAAGAUGCAGUGUACCCGCGGCAAGACGGAAAGACCCCGUGAACCUUUACUAUAGCUUGACACUGAACAUUGAGCCUUGAUGUGUAGGAUAGGUGGGAGGCUUUGAAGUGUGGACGCCAGUCUGCAUGGAGCCGACCUUGAAAUACCACCCUUUAAUGUUUGAUGUUCUAACGUGGACCCGUUACCCGGGUUGCGGACAGUGUCUGGUGGGUAGUUUGACUGGGGCGGUCUCCUCCUAAAGAGUAACGGAGGAGCACGAAGGUUGGCUAAUCCUGGUCGGACAUCAGGAGGUUAGUGCAAUGGCAUAAGCCAGCUUGACUGCGAGCGUGACGGCGCGAGCAGGUGCGAAAGCAGGUCAUAGUGAUCCGGUGGUUCUGAAUGGAAGGGCCAUCGCUCAACGGAUAAAAGGUACUCCGGGGAUAACAGGCUGAUACCGCCCAAGAGUUCAUAUCGACGGCGGUGUUUGGCACCUCGAUGUCGGCUCAUCACAUCCUGGGGCUGAAGUAGGUCCCAAGGGUAUGGCUGUUCGCCAUUUAAAGUGGUACGCGAGCUGGGUUUAGAACGUCGUGAGACAGUUCGGUCCCUAUCUGCCGUGGGCGCUGGAGAACUGAGGGGGGCUGCUCCUAGUACGAGAGGACCGGAGUGGACGCAUCACUGGUGUUCGGGUUGUCAUGCCAAUGGCACUGCCCGGUAGCUAAAUGCGGAAGAGAUAAGUGCUGAAAGCAUCUAAGCACGAAACUUGCCCCGAGAUGAGUUCUCCCUGAGACUUAAAGUCUCCUGAAGGAACGUUGAAGACGACGACGUUGAUAGGCCGGGUGUGUAAGCGCAGCGAUGCGUUGAGCUAACCGGU